Molecule: ribosomal RNA, 221 nt
Filed under: Shigella flexneri
Lineage: Bacteria; Pseudomonadati; Pseudomonadota; Gammaproteobacteria; Enterobacterales; Enterobacteriaceae
Description: partial 16S ribosomal RNA
Rfam family: Bacterial small subunit ribosomal RNA
Source: RNAcentral
GGUAAUACGGAGGGUGCAAGCGUUAAUCGGAAUUACUGGGCGUAAAGCGCACGCAGGCGGUUUGUUAAGUCAGAUGUGAAAUCCCCGGGCUCAACCUGGGAACUGCAUCUUAUACUGGCAAGCUUGAGUCUCGUAGAGGGGGGUAGAAUUCCAGGUGUAGCGGUGAAAUGCGUAGAGAUCUGGAGGAAUACCGGUGGCGAAGGCGGCCCCCUGGACGAAGA